AUUGAACGCUGGCGGCAUGCCUUACACAUGCAAGUCGAACGGCAGCACGGGUGCUUGCACCUGGUGGCGAGUGGCGAACGGGUGAGUAAUACAUCGGAACGUACCUUAUCGUGGGGGAUAACGCAGCGAAAGCUGUGCUAAUACCGCAUACGCCCUGAGGGGGAAAGCGGGGGAUCGCAAGACCUCGCGCGAUUAGAGCGGCCGAUGCCUGAUUAGCUAGUUGGUGGGGUAAAAGCCCACCAAGGCGACGAUCAGUAGCUGGUCUGAGAGGACGAUCAGCCACACUGGGACUGAGACGCGGCCCAGACUCCUACGGGAGGCAGCAGUGGGGAAUUUUGGACAAUGGGGGCAACCCUGAUCCAGCAAUGCCGCGUGAGUGAAGAAGGCCUUCGGGUUGUAAAGCUCUUUUGCCUGGGAAGAAACACCGGCUCUAACACAGUCCGGGAAUGACGGUACCUGAAGAAUAAGCACCGGCUAACUACGUGCCAGCCGCCGCAGUAA
This 501-nucleotide ribosomal RNA is filed under the name uncultured bacterium. RNAcentral's name for it is "partial 16S ribosomal RNA". It matches the Rfam family "Bacterial small subunit ribosomal RNA", at positions 29 to 523 of the family's 1533-position model. The record is from RNAcentral.